GAGAGGAAAUCCUUCAUCUUGUACUUCAAUCCCUUGCUCCAAUCUUGAUUUCUAACCAUUAAAAGUGAAGAUUACUCCAUCAAAGUUACUUAUUAAGGAGGAUUAAAGCUUCUAGUGGAGUUGUUUUGGAAGAAAAAUUCCUAAGUCAUCACCUUUCUUGAUAUUUGAAGGUAUCAUGUCUAGCCAUCCUUCCUUUGUUCUUGAUUAUGUUAAAUUAAUGACUUGUGAUAGCUAAAGAGAUGUUUUAGUGGAAAAUUUCUGACUUGAAUGCAAAAAUUUCCAGUUAGGGUUUCAUUUCCUC
Molecule: long non-coding RNA, 301 nt
Filed under: Coffea arabica (coffee)
Lineage: Eukaryota; Viridiplantae; Streptophyta; Magnoliopsida; Gentianales; Rubiaceae
Description: long non-coding RNA (CARA_LNC008011)
Source: RNAcentral